GGCCUAACUCACUCCGGCCGGAGAACCUAUAUACCCUGACUCAGCAAGGUUUCGCGUGGCUGGGCGGAGGGAUUCGAGCAACACCAUGAACUCACCAAUACCACGCUCAGUGACCAAGAAAAAAACCAAAGUGACAACAUGAUAACAGUUCUGCUGUUCAAUCAUCUACCUCAACAUUUAAAAAUUCAUCCCCUUUCACGUGUCCUCCCCCCACAGGAAAUAGCAGCCUAUUACUUGCUCAAGAACAAGUUGCAGAAUACUCAAGCCAAGGAGGACAAGACGUUAGUGACUGUGCAAAUUUAAAGGAUAUAGCAACACACCUCAGUUUGAGAGGCUGAGUACAGUUAUGAUCCAUUAUGCUGUAAUUCAAUCCUUAGGUUACUAGUAGCAAGUAACUAACUGGAAGUAUGUUUCAGCUAUUUUGGAGGGACUUUCACUCCCCACCAGGCAGCAGCCCUGAAGUGAAAUAACUGUGGAAAGUUGAUACCUUUAUAAGAACAACUUUCAAAUGCAACAGCAACCUUUUUGCACUCCAAAUUAAAAUGGCAGCCAUCACA
Long non-coding RNA from Pipra filicauda (Wire-tailed manakin), 557 nucleotides. RefSeq lists it as uncharacterized. Lineage: Eukaryota; Metazoa; Chordata; Aves; Passeriformes; Pipridae. The record is from RefSeq and is a predicted model, not a curated record. The transcript has 2 exons.